UAUUAAAAAUUUUAUUAAUUUUUAUUGUUAAAAAUUGACAUAACUGCCAGAAUAAUUGUUACGUGUACCUUAUAUUGAUGUGCAAUGACAAGUUUUUUAACAAUAGAAAUAGAUUAAAUUUUUAACA
This 127-nucleotide microRNA precursor is filed under the name Gossypium arboreum. Its description in RNAcentral is "MIR7502 microRNA precursor family". It matches the Rfam family "MIR7502 microRNA precursor family". Lineage: Eukaryota; Viridiplantae; Streptophyta; Magnoliopsida; Malvales; Malvaceae. The record is from Rfam by way of RNAcentral.